Poecilia latipinna (sailfin molly) is the source of this 1043-nucleotide long non-coding RNA. RefSeq lists it as uncharacterized. The transcript has 2 exons. Lineage: Eukaryota; Metazoa; Chordata; Actinopteri; Cyprinodontiformes; Poeciliidae. The record is from RefSeq and is a predicted model, not a curated record.
GUCUGGAAAGCUGGCGAGGACGGAACAGUAGGAGGAGGAGGAGGAACAGGAACCAGAUCAAGCACAAUCACAGUCUCUUCUUGGCUUUGUGAUGAGAGAUGAGGAAAACCCAACACAGCAUGUCGGCCCAUCACCAAGACCACAGAGAAACAAGAGGCAAAAAGAGGUGGCUUCAUUUAGAUCUGGAAAGUACAUGUGGAGCAAAUUCUCAACAGGAGAAACACAAAGAUGUUGAAUGUCAGGCUUGCGUAGUCUAUUUUAUCGACCCAACCAACUUUCAGGUAGUCUUAUCCAUCAGUAGAUGUCUUCUCACCUUAUAGUUAUAAUUUCUACAUAGGGUUCUGUCUUAAUUUGUUGGUGAGUUCUUGUUUUUGUCAGAGCCACCUGGAGUUUAACCGAGUCAGGACUGGUUGCCUCCCCUCACCUCCUAGGAGCCGCCUCACCCUGACCAUGAGCUGAUCUUCAUGCACAGACGCUGGUUAGACGAAGGCUCAGCUCAGGCUGUACUUCUUGAUUCACCACAGGCUGUACUCUCUUCAAAUCCUUCCAAAUAAGCUGCUGGUCUUCUUCUACACUGCUGUUGCCCGGUCUGUCUCAAACACAUCCAUCACUGUGGGGUUUGGUUUAGGCUUGGGAUCUGAAAAAGGGUUAGCAGACAUGUCUGCAGACCCCACACAUCCUGGACACAAACUGUGUGAACCUUCAGGCCUGCGCUUCAGAGCGCUAUUUGCAACAACCAGCUGCCACAGAGACAGUUUCUCCCCUCAGGCUGCCUCUGAUGAGCAUCCUGCAGCCUGAACAGUCAGCUGCUCUGCUGUAAAACAAAAUAAGCAUUUUGGAACUGAACAAACCUUCUGUUUUUCUUUCUUUAUGUACAAAAAUGCCAUCAAACACACAAACACUUUGUCCCUUUAUUCGUAUUUCCUCUCAGGUUUACAUAUUUAUACUUCAUGUUCGUGUGCUGAGUGUUUGGAAACCAAAAACAAAUUCCUUUUUUGUGCACACAAUCUUGGUCAAUAAAGCCGAUUUUGAUUGUGGUUUCA